GGAUGGAUGUCUGAGUGGUUGAAAGAGUCGGUCUUGAAAACCGAAGUAUUGAUAGGAAUACCGGGGGUUCGAAUCCCUCUCCAUCUA
RNAcentral lists this transfer RNA (87 nucleotides) under Triticum aestivum (bread wheat). It matches the Rfam family "tRNA". From Rfam's summary of the family: Transfer RNA (tRNA) molecules are approximately 80 nucleotides in length. Their secondary structure includes four short double-helical elements and three loops (D, anti-codon, and T loops). Lineage: Eukaryota; Viridiplantae; Streptophyta; Magnoliopsida; Poales; Poaceae. The record is from Rfam by way of RNAcentral.